UCUGAUUUGUUGUAUCCGCAUAUCAGUUUUUCGUACUGUCAGAGGGCUUUAGCCCAAUCAGGG
This 63-nucleotide transfer RNA is filed under the name Khawia sinensis. Its description in RNAcentral is "tRNA-Glu". Lineage: Eukaryota; Metazoa; Platyhelminthes; Cestoda; Caryophyllidea; Lytocestidae. The record is from RNAcentral.